Non-coding RNA from Chlorocebus sabaeus (green monkey), 581 nucleotides. Lineage: Eukaryota; Metazoa; Chordata; Mammalia; Primates; Cercopithecidae. The record is from RefSeq and is a predicted model, not a curated record.
CUGUGGGGACAAGGACGUCUGUCAUCCUCUGCUCCUGCUCACAGUGACACUGAUCUAGUAACACCCCCGUCCUGGCCUGACCCUGCCAUGGGCACCAGGCUCCUCUGCUGGGUGGUCCUGGGUUUCCUAGGGAUAGGAAACAGGUAGAUUUGGACGUCGGCUGUCCUUUGGGUAGAAAGAGACCACAGAUUCAUUUCUGAGACACAGUGACUACAAAUGUAGAUGGUAAAAACAAUCACGGCCCACUGCACUCUAGGAGUCCUCGGAACCAGCUCACUUCUUCAAGCAAGGAGUGGGUGUCUCAGCCUAGGCCUUCAGGGCAGACAUGCGUCUUCUAUACGUCUUGGAGGCUGCGGUGCUGCCCAUAUACAUGAGGUUGUCAAGGGAGGGAAACAUGCCUCUUCUCCUGCAUUUAUUGGGGCAUCUGGAAGGUCUGAGGCUACAUACCCAGGAACAUCUUUCUUUUGAAGCUCUUCUAUCCCUGUCACCAUGGAAGUUUUCUGCAACAAAAUAUUGAACCUCUCUUCCUAUUUGAAGUAAAGAUCUUUGCAACUUUUAUGGUCCUUACUUGAUAAAUACAA